GUAUUUGCCUUGACCAAGCUGGCCGGCAGGACUUUAGCUAUUGCAGUGUUUUAGAGGACGUGUCAGUUGUUGUCUUCCUUUUUCACGGGGCCUCUCUGUUGCCCAUAUAUGGCUGGUUGUUGUCAAGGUUGUGUGUCCGACGUAGUGCGACUGACUGCGCAAUACAAGCUCUAACACAAGAUAAAGUCUCAGCUAUGAAGUAACACGGACAAAUCUCACGACACAACAAAAUUGGCGACGACGAACGAGAUAAAGAAAUCAAAAAGUGAGAUCAAGCUGAGAUAAAAUGAAUAAGAGCUAAAAGGAGAUUAAAGGAAUGUCACAAGUGCGCAACAAUUGUCGCAAGGAAAGAAAAGCUGAAUUACGAUGCAAAUGAAGAUAUAAGGAGUUGUAACAAAGGAAAGAAAGCGAAAAAGGAACCAGAAAAACAAGUGAAAGUGGUUAAAUUCCGUAUUUGAACUCUCAAAAAGAAAUUAAAAUGGCUACGAGUCUGCCACCGCCACCGGGUAUGCAAAAAGAUUGAGCGAGGUGCCGCACUCCACCAGAUGAAGGUCUAGGGCGUCCAGACUGAACCGGAACAUCUUGUACUUGAUGUCGUCCGCCGAUGGACAUCUGACGGAGGAAACGAGGAUGUGUCGAAAUAAACAUCAACCAGGUGUCUGUGCGGCUCGGGCCGCGGCACGGUGUCCUGAACCACAGCCACGAUGGGCGACAGCAGCAGCUGCAGCCGCGUCUCCCAGUACGACUUGGACAUCUCGAACCCGAUCCGCUCCAGGGUCAGCGUCGGACACGGAGGGUCGCCCGGCGCGCAGUUCUGGAAAUGAACGGCAACCGACGUGUGAUGAGCACGGGUUUCAGCGAACUAAGUUGGAGAAGUGAAAAACGGAGGUGCCACAUACUCGUAGGUCAAAAACAUUUUAUUAUUUUUGCGAUUGCUGUGACAGUACGAACUACAUUCCAGUUAAAAUAUUUUGAUUCAAUAAGCAUUUGUCACAAGAUGCGCCGAAGAUUCACAGUCCUCCACAGUCCUUGAACUGUUUACUGUCUGUGAAACAUGACAUUAUUUAUUAUGCCCAAAGGAUCAGUGGGGACAUGAUUACCGACUCGAGAGAGGUCAAGAACCUCGGUGUGUACAUCGACCGUCACCUCAAUUUCGAAGCUCACGUGACAUACAUCUCACGGAAAUGUACGGGUAUUCUGAUAGGGCUGUCACACGCGCGUCACGUGCUACCGAAACAGACAUUGAAGGUGAUUGUGGAGGCGCUGGCGAUGUCAGUGGUGCGAUAUUGCCUGUCCGUGUACGGCACAUGUGGUGUGACCCAGCUCGGCCGGAUUCAGAAAGUUGUUCACUUUUGUGUUCGAGUCGUGACGGGCAAACGACGCUUUGACCAUGUCAGCGGGGCGCUGCAGGAGCUCCGCUGGCUGAACGCAGAGCAGCUUGCUGCCUACCACACUGUGUGUGCGCUAGCGCGUAUAAUUGAGACGGGACAGCCUGAGUACCUGUACAACACCAUUGGACCGAGAGCGGACCAAAGGCAUGCCCAUGCAACACGACAGUCGGGGCUAAUCACAUGCCCCAACAUUCGUACCGAAGCUGGAAGGAGGAGAAUGUGUUUUCGGGGAGUGAGAUUACUGAACAGUGUGCAAGCUGUUCCCGGCGAGCCUGGGUUCCGCCGUACUGUCAGGCGGCUCGUGAGAUCGGCUGACGCGCUGUGAGCAGUUGGUGUAUGUAUGAUGGGUUUGUGUGUUUAGUGUAAAUGUGUCCUCAUUGUGUCCGCAUUGUAACUGACGUAGAAGAAUGAAAAGCCAUAUUUUAUGGAUUUCUUUUGAAUACAUCUGUAUCUGUAUCUGUA
Molecule: long non-coding RNA, 1853 nt
Filed under: Amphibalanus amphitrite
Lineage: Eukaryota; Metazoa; Arthropoda; Thecostraca; Balanomorpha; Balanidae
Description: uncharacterized LOC122387778
Source: RNAcentral